GACGAACGCUGGCGGCGUGCUUAACACAUGCAAGUCGAACGGAAAGGCCCUGCUUUUGUGGGGUGCUCGUGUGGCGAACGGGUGAGUAAAACGUGAGUAACCUGCCCUUGACUUUGGGAUAACUUCAGGAAACUGGGGCUAAUACCGGAUAGGAGCUCCUGCUGCAUGGUGGGGGUUGGAAAGUUUCGGCGGUUGGGGAUGGACUCGCGGCUUACCAGCUUGUUGGUGGGGUAGUGGCUUACCAAGGCUGUGACGGGUAGCCGGCCUGAGAGGGUGACCGGCCACAUUGGGACUGAGAUACGGCCCAGACUCCUACGGGAGGCAGCAGUGGGGAAUAUUGCACAAUGGGCGGAAGCCUGAUGCAGCAACGCCGCGUGCGGGAUGACGGCCUUCGGGUUGUAAACCGCUUUCUCCUGUGACGAAGCGUGAUUGACGGUAAUGGGUAAGGAAGCACCGGCUAACUACGUG
This 468-nucleotide ribosomal RNA is filed under the name uncultured bacterium. RNAcentral describes it as "partial 16S ribosomal RNA". It matches the Rfam family "Bacterial small subunit ribosomal RNA", at positions 28 to 507 of the family's 1533-position model. The record is from RNAcentral.